GACGAACGCUGGCGGCGUGCUUUACACAUGCAAGUCGAACGGUAACAGGCCGCAAGGUGCUGACGAGUGGCGAACGGGUGAGUAAUGCAUCGGAACGUGCCCAGUCGUGGGGGAUAACGCAGCGAAAGCUGCGCUAAUACCGCAUACGAUCUAUGGAUGAAAGCGGGGGUACCGUAAGGCCUCGCGCGAUUGGAGCGGCCGAUGUCAGAUUAGGUAGUUGGUGGGGUAAAGGCUCACCAAGCCGACGAUCUGUAGCUGGUCUGAGAGGACGACCAGCCACACUGGGACUGAGACACGGCCUAGACUCCUACGGGGAGGCAGCAGUGGGGGAAACUUUUUGGGCACAAUGGGGGACCAACCCCUGAUCCAGCAAUGCCGCGUGCAGGAAGAAGGCCUUCGGGUUGUAAACUGCUUUUGUACGGAACGAAACGGCUCUGGUUAAUACCCGGGGACUAAUGACGGUACCGUAAGAAUAAGCACCGGCUAACUACGUGCCAGCAGCCGCGGUAAUACGUAGGGUGCGAGCGUUAAUCGGAAUUACUGGGCGUAAAGCGUGCGCAGGCGGUGCUGUAAGACAGGGCGUGAAAUCCCCGGGCUCAACCUGGGAAUGGCGCUUGUGACUGCAGUGCUGGAGUGCGGCAGAGGGGGCAUGGAAUUCCGCGUGUAGCAGUGGAAAUGCGUAGAUAUGCGGAGGAACACCGAUGGCGAAGGNAAUCCCCUGGGCCUGCACUGACGCUCAUGCACGAAAGCGUGGGGGAGCAAACAGGAUUA
Molecule: ribosomal RNA, 771 nt
Filed under: uncultured bacterium
Lineage: Bacteria
Description: bacterial SSU rRNA
Rfam family: Bacterial small subunit ribosomal RNA
Source: RNAcentral